Molecule: long non-coding RNA, 821 nt
Organism: Nerophis ophidion (straightnose pipefish)
Lineage: Eukaryota; Metazoa; Chordata; Actinopteri; Syngnathiformes; Syngnathidae
Exons: 3
Source: RefSeq, a predicted model, not a curated record
CGCCGCGUCGCUUGUGACCCAUAAAGAGAGGUCACCGAAUGUGUCCUUUUUGUCAAACAGCGUGUGUCUUAACAGAACCUCAGAGGAAAAACGAGCCCAAAGUGUCGGAGGCGGUACCUAUGUGGCGCCUCUCUGGAGGAAGCUGGCCAGCCGUUUGGUCGGCGAAGCGGCACAGGAUCAUGUGUUCCUGAAACGGGAGACACUUGGAAGUCAGCAUUGGAAGAAAAGAUGGGAGUUGCUCCCACUUUGCUGCUUUAGCAGCUUGCAUUCUUCUGGGAACGGCGAAAUGUGGCAGCCCUGACCUAACUGACUGUGGAGAGACGCAGCCGACGGGCCGACAGCGGGCGGACAGAGUUGUUCUGGACCAGAAUGGAGGCCAGGAGGCGGGGCAUGCGGCUAAGAGGAGAGGCGUGACGCACGCGGAGCGGCAGGACGGCAAUCAGAGUCAGGUCCGUAGGACACACACCUGCUCACAAUCUGCGCAUCUGCUCCUAGACUUUAAGAGAGGCGAAGGAGGCACGAACGGGAGACAGAGGAGGAAACCACGGCAACCAAACCAUGAGCACGACAACAGAGCACGGCAAGAUGAGUCCCCGCCACAGACGCAGCAGGCGAGCACCGAAAGGUGCAGCGCGACCAGGAAGCAGGACCGGCGAACUAGAAAUGAGCGCGCCAGACUGGCCCGAAAAAAGGUUAUAUGAAACAAUAAAAGUAAAUCAAACCUUCUACGACGCGUCGUGUGUCAAGUCUGCUCGCAAACAACACGAGGACGGCUGGGAGUCCGUCACACUGACUAAUUUAGCAAAGACUUUGGCUGAAUU